AAGCCAGACUCCUACGGGAGGCAGCAGUGGGGGAUAUUGCACAAUGGGGGGAACCCUGAUGCAGCGACGCCGCGUGGGUGAAGGAGUAUUUCGGUAUGUAAAGCCCUAUCGGCAGGGAAGAAAUUGGACGGUACCUGACUAAGAAGCCCCGGCUAACUACGUGCCAGCAGCCGCGGUAAUACGUAGGGGGCAAGCGUUAUCCGGAUUCACUGGGUGUAAAGGGAGCGUAGACGGCCAGGCAAGCCUGGAGUGAAAGCCCGGGGCCCAACCCCGGGACUGCUCUGGGAACUGUCCGGCUGGAGUGCGGGAGGGGCAGGCGGAAUUCCUGGUGUAGCGGUGAAAUGCGUAGAUAUCAGGAGGAACACCGGCGGCGAAGGCGGCCUGCUGGACCGCGACUGACGUUGAGGCUCGAAAGCGUGGGGAGCGAACAGGAUUAGAUACCCCGGUAC
This 449-nucleotide ribosomal RNA is filed under the name uncultured bacterium. RNAcentral describes it as "partial 16S ribosomal RNA". It matches the Rfam family "Bacterial small subunit ribosomal RNA", at positions 328 to 793 of the family's 1533-position model. The record is from RNAcentral.